This 1812-nucleotide unclassified non-coding RNA is filed under the name Hevea brasiliensis (rubber tree). Lineage: Eukaryota; Viridiplantae; Streptophyta; Magnoliopsida; Malpighiales; Euphorbiaceae. The record is from RNAcentral.
AAAAAGAAAGAGGAAGAGAAAGAGAUCUCCAUAGCCUCACUUCAAUAAUCCUCACAAAACAAUCCUCGUAUCUUUGUUUUGUGAGGGUGUGAGGAGAGAAAUCUCUUUUCUUUUUCUUUUCUUUUCUUUAUCUUUUCUAUUCUCUCUGUCAUUUUGAAAGAGCAGAGAGAAACAUAUAUAUUUAUCAAUUUCUUGUUUCCGAAGGAUAAAGAACCCAAGGAAGGAAGUGAUCUUUCCAACUCUUCCUCUCUAAACACAGAGGAGGUGCUUGGAGUCUGAAAGGAAAAAUGGAUGGGAUAUGUGACAAGAAAGGGCAUCCAGUACCACCCCUAUUACCUGGUCCGGCGACUACCAGCAGCUACCAUCGAAGGCAAUUAAUGAUGGAUGGCAAAACAUUAAGAGGACAUAGCAGUGUCUCUACCAGAACCAAGGAUAUGUGGGAACGCUUGUUUGAUGAAGGCUAUAGAGCAGAUGUUACAAUUAAUACCGACAAGGGUGGCUCCAUCUAUGCGCAUGCCAAUAUUCUUGGCAUGGCUUCUCCUGUCAUAAAAGGCCUGUUAAAGCAAGCAAAAAGCCGAACUCGACAACGAUCAAUCUCAAUUCGGGGCGUUCCUCAUGACGCUGUUCGAGUUUUUAUUCGAUUCUUAUACUCUUCUUGGUAUUAAUUAAUUAUUUUCCUCAUGGAUCCUUAUCGAAUAGAUUAUUGAGAUGCUUCCUUUCUUAUUAAUCUGAUAUAUUUAUGUUGUUCGGGCAGUUACGAGAAAGAUGAAAUGGAGGAAUUUGUGCUACACUUGUUGGUGCUCUCACAUGUUUUUGUGGUUCCAGAGUUGAAGAAAAUAUGCGUGCACAAGUUAGAGCAAAGUUUUCUUACAACCGAAAACGUAGUUGACAUCUUUCAGCUUGCGUUAUUGUGCGAUGCUCCUAGGCUUAGCCUCAUUUGUCACCGCAUGAUUGUGAGCAACUUCCAGGAAAUUUCCACCACAGAAGGGUGGAAAGCGAUGCAGCAGAGCCACCCUGUGCUCGAAAAGGAACUUCUUGAUUCCAUGGUUGAUGUAGAAAAUAGGCAAAAGGAGAGAAUUAGGAAACUAAAUGAGAGGAAGAUCUAUUUGCAAUUAUACGAGGCAAUGGAGGCUCUUGUUCAUAUAUGCAGAGAUGGUUGCAGGACAAUUGGACCACAUGAUAAAGAUUUAAGAGAGACUCAGGCACCUUGCCCUUAUUCAGCAUGCAAGGGACUGGAAUUGCUGGUGCGCCAUUUCGCAAGUUGCAAGUUGAGAAUACCUGGAGGUUGCAUUCAUUGCAAGAGAAUGUGGCAGCUAUUAGAGCUACACUCUCGUCUCUGCGCUGAUUCCAACGUAUGCAGAGUUCCUCUGUGCAGGAAUUUCAAGUUUAGGAUUAAGAGCCAAAGCAAGAAGGAUGAGGUUAAGUGGCGAAUCCUAGUGAAAAAGAUUCUUAGAACAAAGAGAAUUGGAGGUUCACCAUUCUUUUCAUCAGCAAUUUCAUGCUCUUCUUGAUAUAAGGAAGAAAAAAAAAAUUGUUCUUCCAGGUGUAAAUUGGUUUUAGAAAGUAGGGACAAUGCAAUCCAGAAAAUUGUUACUUGUUUCUGCCUGGUGGAAAAUGAUCAGAGAAUCCUCUUCCUUGUCAACAUCUUGAUUCUAUGUAUAUUCAUCCAAGCUAUGAAAUAUGAAGUGUUAUGUUGUCAAGGAAAUCAUACAAAAGUGGUCCAAAUGAUCAUUGUCAUCCUUCUUUUAACUAUAAUUUGUAUUAUAAAAAUCUUCAAAUUUCAAUUUCAAUAUCAUUAAAAUUCUUGCUCUU